AAACACCGUACGAUCUCCGAACUUAAGCAAUGUCGAGCCUGAGCAGUAUCUAAAUGGGUGACCGCUUGGGAAUAGCAGGUGCUGUAAG
Molecule: non-coding RNA, 88 nt
Organism: Acanthosepion pharaonis
Lineage: Eukaryota; Metazoa; Mollusca; Cephalopoda; Sepiida; Sepiidae
Source: the annotation of a GenBank genome assembly